Molecule: ribosomal RNA, 500 nt
Filed under: uncultured bacterium
Lineage: Bacteria
Description: partial 16S ribosomal RNA
Rfam family: Bacterial small subunit ribosomal RNA
Source: RNAcentral
AUUGAACGCUGGCGGAAUGCUUUACACAUGCAAGUCGAACGGCAGCACGGGGGCAACCCUGGUGGUGAGUGGCGAACGGGUGAGUAAUACAUCGGAACGUGCCCAGUCGUGGGGGAUAACGUGGCGAAAGUUACGCUAAUACCGCAUACGAUCUACGGAUGAAAGCGGGGGACCGUAAGGCCUCGCGCGAUUGGAGCGGCCGAUGUCAGAUUAGGUAGUUGGUGAGGUAAAGGCUCACCAAGCGGACGAUCUGUAGCUGGUCUGAGAGGACGACCAGCCACACUGGGACUGAGACACGGCCCAGACUCCUACGGGAGGCAGCAGUGGGGAAUUUUGGACAAUGGGCGCAAGCCUGAUCCGGCCAUUCCGCGUGCGGGAUGAAGGCCCUCGGGUUGUAAACUGCUUUUGUACAGAACGAAAAGGUUUCUACUAAUACUAGGAGCUCAUGACGGUACUGUAAGAAUAAGCACCGGCUAACUACGUGCCAGCCGCCGCGGUAA